UACAGAGGUCCCAAGCGUUGUUCGGAUUUACUGGGCGUAAAGGGUGCGUAGGAGGCUCGAAAAGUCAGAUGUGAAAGCUUACCGCUUAACGGUGAAACUGCAUUUGAAACUCUCGAGCUCGAGGAUUAGAGAGGAAAGCGGAAUUCUUGGUGUAGCGGUGAAAUGCGUAGAUAUCAAGAGGAACGCCAAUGGCGAAAGCAGCUUUCUGGAGAAUUCCUGACUCUGAGGCACGAAGGCUAGGGUAGCAAAC
RNAcentral lists this ribosomal RNA (250 nucleotides) under uncultured bacterium. RNAcentral describes it as "partial 16S ribosomal RNA". It matches the Rfam family "Bacterial small subunit ribosomal RNA", at positions 524 to 773 of the family's 1533-position model. The record is from RNAcentral.